AACUGCGAAUGGCUCAUUAAAUCAGUUAUCGUCUAUUUGAUAGUACCUUACUACUUGGAUAACCGUGGUAAUUCUAGAGCUAAUACAUGCUGCAAAGCCCGACUUCGGAAGGGCUGUAUUUAUUAGAUUAAAAAACCAAUGCCCUCCGGGGCUCACUGGUGAUUCAUGAUAACUUCUCGAAUCGCACGGCCUUGCGCCGGCGAUGGUUCAUUCAAAUUUCUGCCCUAUCAACUUUCGACGGCUGGGUAUUGGCCAGCCGUGGUGACAACGGGUAACGGAGGGUUAGGGCUCGACCCCGGAGAAGGAGCCUGAGAAACGGCUACUACAUCCAAGGAAGGCAGCAGGCGCGCAAAUUACCCAAUCCCGACACGGGGAGGUAGUGACAAUAAAUACUGAUACAGGGCUCUUUUGGGUCUUGUAAUUGGAAUGAGUACAAUUUAAUUCCCUUAACGAGGAACAAUUGGAGGGCAAGUCUGGUGCCAGCAGCCGCGGUAAUUCCAGCUCCAAUAGCGUAUAUUAAAGUUGUUGCAGUUAAAAAGCUCGUAGUUGAACCUUGGGCCUGGCUGGCCGGUCCGCCUCACCGCGUGCACUGGUCCGGCCGGGCCUUUCCCUCUGGGGAGCCGCAUGCCCUUCACUGGGCGUGCCGGGGAACCAGGACGUUUACUUUGAAAAAAUUAGAGUGUUCAAAGCAGGCUUAUGCUCGAAUACAUUAGCAUGGAAUAAUGGAAUAGGACGCGUGGUUCUAUUUUGUUGGUUUCUAGGACCGCCGUAAUGAUUAAUAGGGACAGUCGGGGGCAUCAGUAUUCAGCUGUCAGAGGUGAAAUUCUUGGAUUUGCUGAAGACUAACUACUGCGAAAGCAUUUGCCAAGGAUGUUUUUCAUUAAUCAGGAACGAAAGUUAGGGGAUCGAAGACGAUCAGAUACCGUCGUAGUCUUAACCAUAAACUAUGCCGACUAGGGAUCGGACGGUGUUAUUCUUUGACCCGUUCGGCACCUUACACGAAAGUACA
This 1009-nucleotide ribosomal RNA is filed under the name Raffaelea sp. RNAcentral describes it as "SSU rRNA". It matches the Rfam family "Eukaryotic small subunit ribosomal RNA", at positions 85 to 1102 of the family's 1831-position model. The record is from RNAcentral. Lineage: Eukaryota; Fungi; Ascomycota; Sordariomycetes; Ophiostomatales; Ophiostomataceae.